RNAcentral lists this ribosomal RNA (206 nucleotides) under uncultured bacterium. Its description in RNAcentral is "partial 16S ribosomal RNA". It matches the Rfam family "Bacterial small subunit ribosomal RNA", at positions 568 to 774 of the family's 1533-position model. The record is from RNAcentral.
CGCGUAGGCGGCUUGUCAAGUCACUUGUGAAAUCUCUGGGCUUAACCCAGAACGGCCAAGUGAAACUGACAUGCUAGAGUGCAGAAGGGGCAAUCGGAAUUCUUGGUGUAGCGGUGAAAUGCGUAGAUAUCAAGAGGAACACCUGAGGUGAAGACGGGUUGCUGGGCUGACACUGACGCUGAGGCGCGAAAGCCAGGGAGCAAACG